AACGAACGCUGGCGGCAUGCCUAACAUAUGCAAGUCGAACGAGACCUUCGGGUCUAGUGGCGCACGGGUGCGUAACGCGUGGGAACCUGCCCUUAGGUUCGGAAUAACUCCCCGAAAGGGGUGCUAAUACCGGAUAAUAUCUUCGGACCAAAGAUUUAUCGCCUUUGGAUGGGCCCGCGUUGGAUUAGCUAGUUGGUAGGGUAAAAGCCUACCAAGGCGACGAUCCAUAGCUGGUCUGAGAGGAUGAUCAGCCACACUGGGACUGAGACACGGCCCAGACUCCUACGGGAGGCAGCAGUGGGGAAUAUUGGACAAUGGGCGAAAGCCUGAUCCAGCAAUGCCGCGUGAGUGAUGAAGGCCUUAGGGUUGUAAAGCUCUUUUACCCGGGAUGAUAAUGACAGUACCGGGAGAAUAAGCUCCGGCUAACUCCGUG
RNAcentral lists this ribosomal RNA (433 nucleotides) under uncultured bacterium. RNAcentral describes it as "partial 16S ribosomal RNA". It matches the Rfam family "Bacterial small subunit ribosomal RNA", at positions 29 to 507 of the family's 1533-position model. The record is from RNAcentral.